GGACCAGAAAUACAAACUAAUUUCCUGUUGAAGUAAACACCUUUGAUACAUUGACUUUGGUGUUAGCCUCGAGCCCAGGGCUGCCUGCUUCUAUCUGUGUGAUUAAACUCUGGAGUGUUUAGACCAGAAACAACCCUGAAAACCGGGUUCAUAUCUGUAAAGGUCCUCGAACCCCAGGGCCUGACUUAAGCCUCGCUGAUCUUGAACGCGUUCAGAACACAGGUGUGUUUAUGUCUGUCUACAGUGACCGUUUCUAGGUUCAUUAGUUAGAUUUUUAUUUCAUGCAUUCUGAAUUAAGUCUGGCAGACUGUCAUUUCCAGCUGGUCCACUAGGUGGUGCUCAGCAUGCAGAACAACAGCAGGCUGUGGCCUCCAGAGAAGAAGCUUCUUUACCCUGCUGCAUGCUCUAGGUCCACUCAGUCCUUGUCGGUGUUGAGCGGGUCAUGGUCCAGGGUUUGAAGUCCUGGUGUUUCCAGAAAGAUGAUGUUAUCCAUGUUGGAAACACUCCUGUGUUCUGCUUCCGUUUGACCUGAUGCCCUUGGGCCAGGGCCACUGAAACCAGGACCUGUUGAUGCACAAUUAGUGGCUGAGCGGAGAGCUGACCAGGAACAACGGUGGUGGCAAAUCCCAGUUGGGUCUGUGAUGGAGUGAUGCUCACCUGGAGUGAUUGCCAUCUCAUCCACAGGUUCUAAGAAGAAGAAGAAGAAGAAAAUAUCAUUUCUAUAGCGCCUCUCAAGAUUAAAAUCACGAGGCGCUUCACAAAAACAAAAAAAAUGUAAAAAUAUAAAAAACAUCAGGCAGAGGGAUACUCAUGUCCUGAAGAAACCUGCAGACUGUUGAACCCACUGAAAAACGGAGUUGUUUUCCAGCUGGGUUCCCUGGUUGCAGAGCCUGUUCCUUUCUCCUCCUGGCCCUGACGCCGGCUCCUCAUGGCUUCCUGGGAUGUCCCCCCUUCACUUUCCCUCAUCUCAUUUGCCUCACUGCUGCUGCUGCUUUCCUCAUUCUCUGAAAUUAUAAUGGCACUGUUAGAAUAAAGAAUCAUUUUAAAUAAAAUAAAUACAAAUGUCUAAUAUUUCAAAAGAUUGGUACCACAGUUUACUUGAGUACAACGUGUGUGGUCACUGGUCAGUGGAUCAACAUGCAGUUGUUCUGCUGCGGGGUCCUUCCUCCUGCUUGGUUCAGGGCGAUGAACAAACACAGCAUCAGCCCUGAGUCUCACCUUGCCUUGCCUAAGCUUAGUAAACUGUCCCUCCCCAAAAUGUGCCUGUAGAGUGGUGUAUUAGUUUAUUUCCUGCCACAUUUAACAGUUUAAUUGCAGCCUUGUGCUGUUGAGAACAAAACGUAGAGCCUUGAUAGAAAACAUGUGAGAGUGCACGUUAAACUCACUGCACACAGCUUUUUGAUAUUGUGAUCUCUGCUCAUGGUGAGGUUGCUCCUGCUGACUUGAGCCAACCAUUUUCUUCUUCUCUCUGCGUCUUUGGGUACGCCGUAAUUCUGAUUCCUCCCUCAGACCGAUUGCUAUAUGCAGCGCAGCCAACCAUGUAAGAUAAUCAACCUAUAAAGGGAUUAUUAAAAUAUAGAAAUAUUGAACUAAACCAAAAAUAUAGAGAUGAAAAAUUACAUUUUAAAAUGUUAUCCAACCCUAAAAUUAGUAAUUUCAAAUUUUAACCCACUGACAAGUUUUAUUUUAAUAAUAAUCAAAAUAAAGUUAUUCAAAAGAGUUUCAUUAGGUCUUGAGUACAUUACUCAUAAUUAAUGAUUCAGCUUAUUUGUGCAUAUGUAAUGACUCAACAUGAUGUUGGUAAAAUGCUUUAUUAAAAAUGCCAUUAUACAUGUUGUACAAGUUUGGUGAUCAUUUUUCACAAUUAACACUUUUUUAUCUGUGUUGACCGUACAGUUUAAUAGAAAAUUUUCUGUUUAAUUAGUUGCUAUUAGUCAGGCUAUAGAAGCCAGAUAAACUGGGUUAUAGAUGCAUGUACUGUCUUCACAUAAAAAUAUAAAGUAAUGACUGUAAAAUGUUUUCUACUGAACAUAAUAGACCAUCAUUCAAAGCAUAAACAGCGACAUAUUUUCUUCAAGGUAAGCUGGAGCAGAAUUCUGGCUUUCAUAGAACCACUUUAAAAUGGAUAUUACGACUCGACUUUAGGGCUUCUUGUAGGACUUAAAGAGCA
This is a non-coding RNA of Nothobranchius furzeri (turquoise killifish), 2170 nucleotides long. The record is from RefSeq and is a predicted model, not a curated record. NCBI's taxonomy places the organism in Eukaryota, Metazoa, Chordata, Actinopteri, Cyprinodontiformes, Nothobranchiidae.